AACGAACGCUGGCGGCGUGGAUAAGACAUGCAAGUCGAACGCUGAUCAGGGGGUAGCAAUAUUCCCUGGUUGGAGUGGCGCAAGGGUGCGUAACACGUGGGUAAUCUGCCGUGAAGCCUGGGAUAACUCGCUGAAAGGCGAGCUAAUACCGGAUGUGACUGUUUGGUGGCAUCACCGGACAUUUGAAGCUGGGGACCGAAAGGCCUGGCACUUCAUGAUGAGCCCGCGGCCUAUCAGCUAGUUGGUGAGGUAACGGCCCACCAAGGCUAAGACGGGUAGCUGGUCUGAGAGGACGACCAGCCACACUGGAACUGAGACACGGUCCAGACACCUACGGGUGGCAGCAGUCGAGAAUUUUUCACAAUGGGCGCAAGCCUGAUGGAGCGACGCCGCGUGGGGGAUGAAGGGUUUCGAUCCGUAAACCCCUGUCAUUUGCGAACAAACCUGGAGUGCUAACACCAUUUCAGUUGAUUGUAGUGAAAGAGGAAGGGACGGCUAAC
This 500-nucleotide ribosomal RNA is filed under the name uncultured bacterium. Its description in RNAcentral is "bacterial SSU rRNA". It matches the Rfam family "Bacterial small subunit ribosomal RNA", at positions 29 to 501 of the family's 1533-position model. The record is from RNAcentral.